GGCAGCAGUAGGGAAUUUUCCGCAAUGGGCGAAAGCCUGACGGAGCAAUACCGCGUGAGGGAAGAAUGCCUAUGGGUUGUAAACCUCUUUUUUCAGGGAGGAACAUAAUGACGUGUACCUGAAGAAUAAGCAUCGGCUAACUCCGUGCCAGCAGCCGCGGUAAGACGGAGGAUGCAAGUGUUAUCCGGAAUCACUGGGCGUAAAGCGUCUGUAGGUGGUUUAAUAAGUCAACUGUUAAAUCUUGAGGCUCAACCUCAAAAUCGCAGUCGAAACUAUUAGACUAGAGUAUAGUAGGGGUAAAGGGAAUUUCCAGUGGAGCGGUGAAAUGCGUAGAGAUUGGAAAGAACACCGAUGGCGAAAGCACUUUACUGGGCUAUUACUGACACUCAGAGACGAAAGCUAGGGUAGCAAAUGGGAUUAGAUACCCCAGUAGUCCUAGCUGUAAACAAUGGAUACUAGAUGUUGAACAGAUCGACCUGUGCAGUAUCAAAGCUAACGCGUUAAGUAUCCCGCCUGGGAAGUAUGCUCGCAAGAGUGAAACUCAAAU
RNAcentral lists this ribosomal RNA (547 nucleotides) under uncultured bacterium. RNAcentral describes it as "bacterial SSU rRNA". It matches the Rfam family "Bacterial small subunit ribosomal RNA", at positions 347 to 906 of the family's 1533-position model. The record is from RNAcentral.